This 71-nucleotide transfer RNA is filed under the name Planctomycetaceae bacterium. Its description in RNAcentral is "tRNA-Gly". It matches the Rfam family "tRNA". From Rfam's summary of the family: Transfer RNA (tRNA) molecules are approximately 80 nucleotides in length. Their secondary structure includes four short double-helical elements and three loops (D, anti-codon, and T loops). Further hydrogen bonds mediate the characteristic L-shaped molecular structure. tRNAs have two regions of fundamental functional importance: the anti-codon, which is responsible for specific mRNA codon recognition, and the 3' end, to which the tRNAs corresponding amino acid is attached (by aminoacyl-tRNA synthetases). tRNAs cope with the degeneracy of the genetic code in two manners: having more than one tRNA (with a specific anti-codon) for a particular amino acid; and 'wobble' base-pairing, i.e. permitting non-standard base-pairing at the 3rd anti-codon position. Lineage: Bacteria; Pseudomonadati; Planctomycetota; Planctomycetia; Planctomycetales; Planctomycetaceae. The record is from RNAcentral.
GCGGGUGUAGUUCAAUGGUAGAACACAAGCUUCCCAAGCUUGACACGAGGGUUCGAUUCCCUUCACCCGCU